This 253-nucleotide ribosomal RNA is filed under the name uncultured bacterium. Its description in RNAcentral is "partial 16S ribosomal RNA". It matches the Rfam family "Bacterial small subunit ribosomal RNA", at positions 524 to 776 of the family's 1533-position model. The record is from RNAcentral.
UACGUAGGGUGCGAGCGUUGUCCGGAAUUAUUGGGCGUAAAGAGCUCGUAGGCGGUUUGUCGCGUCUGCUGUGAAAACUCGGGGCUUAACCCCGGGCCUGCAGUGGGUACGGGCAGACUAGAGUGCGGUAGGGGAGACUGGAAUUCCUGGUGUAGCGGUGAAAUGCGCAGAUAUCAGGAGGAACACCGGUGGCGAAGGCGGAUCUCUGGGCCUUGCCUGACGCUGAGGCGCGAAAGCAUGGGGAGCGAACAGG